RNAcentral lists this ribosomal RNA (611 nucleotides) under uncultured yard-trimming-compost bacterium. RNAcentral's name for it is "bacterial SSU rRNA". It matches the Rfam family "Bacterial small subunit ribosomal RNA", at positions 36 to 643 of the family's 1533-position model. The record is from RNAcentral.
CUAGCCGGCAGGCUUAACACAUGCAAGUCGAGGGGUAUAAGGAGCUUGCUCCUUAGAGACCGGCGCACGGGUGCGUAACGCGUAUGCAAUCUACCUUUCACAGAGGGAUAGCCCAGAGAAAUUCGGAUUAAUACCUCAUAGUAUAUAUGGAUGGCAUCAUUUGUAUAUUAAAGUCACAACGGUGAAAGAUGAGCAUGCGUCCCAUUAGCUAGUUGGUAAGGUAACGGCUUACCAAGGCGACGAUGGGUAGGGGUCCUGAGAGGGAGAUCCCCCACACUGGUACUGAGACACGGACCAGACUCCUACGGGAGGCAGCAGUGAGGAAUAUUGGUCAAUGGGCGCAAGCCUGAACCAGCCAUGCCGCGUGCAGGAUGAAGCAUCUAUGGCGUGUAAACUGCUUUUGUACGGGAAGAAACAGCGCUUCGUGAAGCGCCUUGACGGUACCGUAAGAAUAAGGAUCGGCUAACUCCGUGCCAGCAGCCGCGGUAAUACGGAGGAUCUAAGCGUUAUCCGGAAUCAUUGGGUUUAAAGGGUCCGUAGGCGGUUUGGUAAGUCAGUGGUGAAAGCCCAUCGCUCAACGGGNGGAACGGCCAUUUGAUACUGCCAGACUU